GUGACCUGCAUUGCUUUGAGGCUGUGCCUCACUGUCUUGCGUCCUCUGUCACAAUAUGUCAUCAGUUCAGACAUUCACACACACACCCCUGGGUCUCUGGAGAAUGAGAAAGGAGGUGUGUGCUGGAGGAGUGUGUGUGUGUGUGUGUGUUCCUGCAAGUUCCCUGAGGAAUGAGGCCUACAUAUGCUACUGGGAGGGAUAUUGUACGUGAAGGAGGUUUGUUCUUGAAGGAAAUGGAAAGAUCUUUCUGAUGGAGGCACGUGAGGGGGUUGCAUAAAUCACACACAAACGGCUCUGCCUUUGAACGACAGGAAAUUUUCAUCUGGAAUUAGGAGUAGCAGCUACAUGAACAAACAUGAGUGAGAAUUUAGAGACGGGCUGAUGGCAGACGAUGGCGUUUCCUACAUCACUGGGGAAAUUUUUCACCUGGAUAUGUUGUCUUUCUGAUUAAAAAACAAAAUAAAACAAAACUUAUGUUUCCUGCUA
This is a non-coding RNA of Macaca mulatta (Rhesus monkey), 486 nucleotides long. NCBI's taxonomy places the organism in Eukaryota, Metazoa, Chordata, Mammalia, Primates, Cercopithecidae. The record is from RefSeq and is a predicted model, not a curated record.